RNAcentral lists this unclassified non-coding RNA (324 nucleotides) under Melitaea cinxia (Glanville fritillary). RNAcentral describes it as "misc RNA ENSMCXG00005009474.1". Lineage: Eukaryota; Metazoa; Arthropoda; Insecta; Lepidoptera; Nymphalidae. The record is from RNAcentral.
CACCGCGCGCUGCUGGACGCCUACAUCGCGCAGCACUUCGACGAGAUCUGCGAGAGCGGCGCGCUGGCGGCGCUGCCGCUGAUCCGCAUCGAGCUGCUGCGGGAGACGAGCGCCGACGGCGGCGAGGAGGCGCCCGCCGCGGUCGCCGACGCCGCGCUCGCCUGGCUGCGCGACCACCACGCCGCCGACGUCGACGUACGUUUGUCGCCACUUUUUUAUACGGCUAGGUGAUAACGAGCGUACGGAUCACCUAAUUGUAAGCGAUUACCAACUUAUAGACGCCUGCAACACCAGAAGUAUCCCGAGUGCUUUGCCGACCCUCCC